CAGUCGCCGCGGGAACACGAAGGGUGCAAGCGUUAAUCGGAAUUACUGGGCGUAAAGCGCGCGUAGGUGGUUUGGUAAGAUGGAUGUGAAAUCCCCGGGCUCAACCUGGGAACUGCAUCCAUAACUGCCUGACUAGAGUACGGUAGAGGGUGGUGGAAUUUCCUGUGUAGCGGUGAAAUGCGUAGAUAUAGGAAGGAACACCAGUGGCGAAGGCGACCACCUGGACUGAUACUGACACUGAGGUGCGAAAGCGUGGGGAGCAAACAGGAUUAGAUACCCGAGUAGUCCCUGUCUCUUAUAC
This 301-nucleotide ribosomal RNA is filed under the name uncultured bacterium. RNAcentral's name for it is "partial 16S ribosomal RNA". It matches the Rfam family "Bacterial small subunit ribosomal RNA", at positions 509 to 807 of the family's 1533-position model. The record is from RNAcentral.